RNAcentral lists this long non-coding RNA (1174 nucleotides) under Capra hircus (goat). Its description in RNAcentral is "lncRNA (ENSCHIG00010023179.1)". Lineage: Eukaryota; Metazoa; Chordata; Mammalia; Artiodactyla; Bovidae. The record is from RNAcentral.
AUGAGAAGGAUUGUAAUAAUUCCAUUUCUAGUAGGAAUUAUAACAACUCCCCUUCUAUGUACAGCACUUUCUGACUCUCACAUCACUCUGACACUACUAUUUCACAAGCUAGGGCAUUUUUUAUUUGGUCUUAUAAAUGAAGAAAUUCAGCAUGUGAAAAUAANNNNNNNNNNNNNNNNNNNNNNNNNNNNNNNNNNNNNNNNNUUAGGAAACCACCUCACAAAUGACAAUUGUCUUUUUCAGCAUAACCAGAUUCUCUGGAUGUUUUUAUCAGAUAAUACUGUGUGCAUUGGGUCUUCUCACAUGUUACAUAUUUACAGAGGUUGUCAGAGUCAAGGGAAACAAAAGAAGGGGACAAAAUACCCAUGGAUGAUCCACAGUGCAAGUCCAUCACCACUUUAGCCAGAAAAAAGGAGGAGAGGUUGUCCCCAGAAGCUACUGGAAGAGGACUCCCCCCCAACAAAAGCCAUGGCUACAGACAGCCAAUCAAAGCGCAGCUUGGUGGGAAAAGAAUAAGAUUCUCACCCUCUGCCCUCUAGUCUCCUGUCCCAGCAGCCAAAAACAACAGAAGCAAAAGGACAGGGAACUCUGGGUGACAGGGUUCACAUAUAUUAGUGAAACGGAACAAAUGAAAACUAACCAGUACUGGGACUUCUCUGGUGGUCCAGAGGUUAAGACUCUGAGCUUCCAAUGCAGCGGGUUUGGGUUCGAGCCCUGGUUUGGGAACUAAGAUCCCAUGUGCUGCACAGCUCGACCAUAAAUAAGUAAAUAAAUCCAUGCCCCCCUAGAUAAUUGAUUAAUUAAUGCCUCCAGAUAAUAAAUUCAAGCCCCAAAUAAUAAAUUCCUGUCUCUAGAUAAUAAAUAAAUAAAUAAAAUCAAGCCCCUAGAUAAUAAAUAAAUGAAUUCGUGCCUCCAGAUAAUAAAUAAAUAAAUUCUUCUCUCCAGAUAGCAAAUAAAUAAAUCCAUGCCCCCAGAUAAUUAACUAAUUAAUUAAUUAAUCCCCCAGAUAAUAAGUAAAUGAAUUCAUGCCUCCAGAUAUUAAAUAAAUGCAUGCCUCCAGAUAGCUAAUUAAUUACCUCAUUCCCCAAGAUAGUAAAUAAAUUCAUGCCCCCAGCCUAGACCUACAGAAUAGGGAUAUGGGAUGAGAAGUAACUAGAGAAUCUCCAGUGAAGCC